Molecule: ribosomal RNA, 448 nt
Filed under: uncultured bacterium
Lineage: Bacteria
Description: bacterial SSU rRNA
Rfam family: Bacterial small subunit ribosomal RNA
Source: RNAcentral
GACGAACGCUGGCGGCGUGCUUAACACAUGCAAGUCGAACGAGAGGACAAGAGAAGCUUGCUUCUUUUGGAAUCGAGUGGCAAACGGGUGAGUAACACGUAAACAACCUGCCUUCAGGAUGGGGACAACAGACGGAAACGACUGCUAAUACCGAAUACGCUUGGGAGACCGCAUGAUCUUCCAAGGAAAGGGUGGCCUCUACCUGUAAGCUAUCGCCUGAAGAGGGGUUUGCGUCUGAUUAGGCAGUUGGUGAGGUAACGGCCCACCAAACCUACGAUCAGUAGCCGGUCUGAGAGGAUGAACGGCCACACUGGAACUGAGACACGGUCCAGACUCCUACGGGAGGCAGCAGUGGGGAAUCUUCCGCAAUGGGCGAAAGCCUGACGGAGCAACGCCGCGUGAGUGAUGACGGCCUCGGUUGUAAGACUCUCGUGAUCGGGGACGGAAC